This 299-nucleotide ribosomal RNA is filed under the name uncultured bacterium. Its description in RNAcentral is "partial 16S ribosomal RNA". It matches the Rfam family "Bacterial small subunit ribosomal RNA", at positions 338 to 625 of the family's 1533-position model. The record is from RNAcentral.
CCUACGGGAGGCAGCAGUGGGGAAGUUUUGGUACAAUGGGCGGCAAGCCUGAUCCAGCAAUGCCGCGUGAGUGAAGAAGGCCUUCGGGUUGUAAAGCUCUUUUGUCAGGGAAGAAACGGUGGAGGCUAAUAUCCUUUGCUAAUGACGGUACCUGAAGAAUAAGCACCGGCUAACUACGUGCCAGCAGCCGCGGUAAUACGUAGGGUGCAAGCGUUAAUCGGAAUUACUGGGCGUAAAGCGUGCGCAGGCGGUUUUGUAAGUUUGUCCGUGAAAUCCCCGGGNUCAACCUGGGAAUGGCG